Molecule: long non-coding RNA, 2419 nt
Filed under: Homo sapiens (human)
Lineage: Eukaryota; Metazoa; Chordata; Mammalia; Primates; Hominidae
Description: HSALNT0306146
Source: RNAcentral
UUCACUUCAUCAGAUAUUUAAGUAUUAAUACAUAAAUUAGAAAUCAAUUUUAGGAGUGUUAUUCCUCCAAUACAAACAUUUUUUUCUGGCUUUUCAUCUCCUUGUCAUAUUCCCAGCAAAUAACCACACAGACGGGGUGUGUGUCUCUCCUUAAAUGAGAUUAGUGAAGGUGGCCCGAUCAAUUAUUUUUAAGCCUGACCAAAUAGGCGUACUCUAAUCUUGCCUAUUUCAGCAUAAUGUUGCCCAGCAUGAUAAAAUACUUAUUUAAACAGGUGUAUCAGUCUCAGAGAUCUGUAUGUAUAGUUUACCUUGAAGUCAAUUGAAAACAGAAUAUUCCUUAUUGAUUUUGCCUGCCUGGCUGCUAUAUGUAGUCAAUGGGACUCACGUGGAUGUAAAUAGAGUGAAUCAACUCCUUGCUGGCCCUGGACCUCCUUGAGUCAUGUGAAGUAGGUUUCUGAUUCCUUUAUGUUCAGGCACAGCCAGGGAGACAAGAGUACUACUGUCUUCUGCUGGUGCAGAGAGUUACCUCAGGCUAUGCAGGAAAAAUCCUUUUUUCUUAUUUUUAGACCUGAAUCAGUCUAUGCCACUAAAUGUAUUCUUGUGAAUACAGAUGCACUUUGUUGUCAUGCUCGUGGGAAGGCAAUGGAGUAACCUGUUUGGACGCAGCUGCAGGCCACCUGUAGAGAAAGUCAAAUUAGGGAGAGACCCCACUGUUCUUUGCAUUAAUGCUUUUUGUAUUGUUGUUUGACUUUUCCCCCUCUGUCGAUGUAUCUUUUUCAACUAGGGAGAUCGGGAGCACAUUUUAAGGCCUUCUGUCCCUUUAAGGCAUCUAAUGAUUGAAAGGACUCUAAGAUUUGAAAGGCUGUAAAAACUCCCCAGUUGGCAAUGAAUGAUGGCAAUACAAAGAAUCUUAAAGCUGUUGAAGUUGAAGUAGUCUUCUUACAGAUUUAGUUUGUUUGGUGAACUUCCAGCGGCAGCUCUUACAAGGUCAAGUCUAAAAAUUGGACCACUACAGGCUCUGACCACAUGUAUGAGAAGCCAAAGGACCUGUGAUCUCACCUGCCUCAAUCAUGUGCCAUUAUUUACUCCACUUGCCUCUUCUGAAUGGGUAUGAUCCCAACCAAACAUAGUGAAGGGGAAAGUUAAACAAUAUUUGGAAAGCCAUGUAUUUGGAAAGCCAAUGUAAAAGUGAAAAGAAGGCCACCCACGAGAGAGAGAGAGAGAGAGAGAGAGACAGAGAGAGAGAUCUUUCAUUUGUGAAUUGCAAAGCUUCAGAGGUCCGAAUUUGGCCAGUAUGUUUGCUGCAAAGCCUUGGAAUGCUGUUUUGCAGUUUCAAAAGUGAUCAUACUCAGCUUCCCAGAAUUUUUUAUGCCUGGAGGAUGCCACAAGAACAAGGGCAGCCUUGUUAACAAGUUCCAAUCUCUCAAAAACAAGAUAGGAUUCGGAUAUAAAUCAUCAUUUCAGCUCACAAAGCCAUGUUCUCCACCCCACUGAAGGGCUUCAUUUACAUCUAAAAUGGUUAAUACUGAUCUGCACCAGAACUCCUAAGUGGAGGAAUGCAGCUGCCAUGUGCUUAGUGACUCUGGGGUUAGGGAAGAAUGACAUCACCAAAUGUAAGCAUAUUAUCAUGCUGACAUAGAGGCACCUUGUUUUCUCCUCUGUGGAUAGAGCAAGGAUUGUGUUCUGUCUCUUGUUUUUUUCCGCUCGAAGAAUACCUUUCCCCCUCCCUUCUUAGCAGCUGCAAUAUGAAGGGCUGAAAAUGUCACUUCAACUAAUGAUGAAUGAUGCUUGACCUCUGGAUGGGUUACUCAGAAUUUUAUGCAAUUCUAAAUUAAUAUGAAAGAUCCCAACUCAAAGGACUUCGGCCGUUAAGAUUUGCUUCAAGGAUAGAUUUGUGUAAAGCAGUUAGUAGCUUUGGGGAUUUUGUUGCUGUUGUUAUUGUACUUGGUGGGGGACUGGGAGACUCGUGCUCUGUAAGCAAGGUAAAAGGCAGAAUGUGCUAACAUUUUUAUGUGUUAUUUUUUUCCUGUGAGAUUAAUAUCUUUUUCUACUAGAAAUAUUGUCAGUAAGCAGAACCAGUUUGUGAAAAAAACAUUCUCAAAAGGGCACAGGCCCACACGUCUUUGUUGUUUUUAUUUGAAUAUAAUUAAUUAUGUAAAGCAAUAGUUAGUGUAAGAUUAACAAUUAGUAGAUUCUGUCAAGUAGUCACACGGAAAUUACUAACUAAUUGAACUACUGGUCGUCUAUUGUGUCAGAAAGCAGUACUGAGUGUCAUUCUUUUUAUCUUUUUACUUUGUUGUUUUCACAGAUCCUCUUGUUUCUAAGAUGUAUGUUUCACAGCCGACUAAUAAAUAAAUAACCCUGGUUGUAAUUUCAUAACAUGCAAAAAGGUUUGAAAUAAAAACACCUGUUUUAAUUA